UACGUAGGGGGCGAGCGUUGUCCGGAUUUAUUGGGCGUAAAGAGCGUGUAGGCGGCCAGGUAGGUCUGCUGUGAAAACUCGAGGCUCAACCUCGAGACGUCGGCGGAAACCAUCUGGCUAGAGUCCGGAAGAGGAGAGUGGAAUUCCUGGUGUAGCGGUGAAAUGCGCAGAUAUCAGGAAGAACACCCGUGGCGAAGGCGGCUCUCUGGGACGGCACUGACGCUGAGUGAGCGAAAGCCAGGGGAGCAAACGGG
RNAcentral lists this ribosomal RNA (254 nucleotides) under uncultured bacterium. RNAcentral's name for it is "partial 16S ribosomal RNA". It matches the Rfam family "Bacterial small subunit ribosomal RNA", at positions 524 to 776 of the family's 1533-position model. The record is from RNAcentral.